This 497-nucleotide ribosomal RNA is filed under the name uncultured bacterium. RNAcentral describes it as "partial 16S ribosomal RNA". It matches the Rfam family "Bacterial small subunit ribosomal RNA", at positions 28 to 507 of the family's 1533-position model. The record is from RNAcentral.
GAUGAACGCUGGCGGCGUGCCUAAUACAUGCAAGUCGAGCGAACAGACGAGGAGCUUGCUCCUCUGACGUUAGCGGCGGACGGGUGAGUAACACGUGGAUAACCUACCUAUAAGACUGGGAUAACUUCGGGAAACCGGAGCUAAUACCGGAUAAUAUAUUGAACCGCAUGGUUCAAUAGUGAAAGACGGUUUUGCUGUCACUUAUAGAUGGAUCCGCGCCGCAUUAGCUAGUUGGUAAGGUAACAGCUUGCCAAGGCAACGAUGCGUAGCCGACCUGAGAGGGUGAUCGGCCACACUGGAACUGAGACACGGUCCAGACUCCUACGGGAGGCAGCAGUAGGGAAUCUUCCGCAAUGGGCGAAAGCCUGACGGAGCAACGCCGCGUGAGUGAUGAAGGUCUUCGGAUCGUAAAACUCUGUUAUUAGGGAAGAACAAAUGUGUAAGUAACUAUGCACGUCUUGACGGUACCUAAUCAGAAAGCCACGGCUAACUACGUG